ACGGGAGGCAGCAGUGAGGAAUAUUGGUCAAUGGACGGAAGUCUGAACCAGCCAAGUAGCGUGCAGGAUGACGGCCCUAUGGGUUGUAAACUGCUUUUGUUGGGGAAUAAAAGUCGGGACGUGUCCCGUUUUGCAUGUACCCUUCGAAUAAGGACCGGCUAAUUCCGUGCAGCAGCCGCGGUAAUACGGAAGGUCCGGGCGUUAUCCGGAUUUAUUGGGUUUAAAGGGAGCGUAGGCCGAAUGCUAAGCGUGUUGUGAAAUGUAGAGGCUCAACCUCUGCACUGCAGCGCGAACUGGCAAUCUUGAGUGCGCGGGAAGUUGGCGGAAUUCGUCGUGUAGCGGUGAAAUGCUUAGAUAUGACGAAGAACUCCGAUUGCGAAGGCAGCUGACUGUAGCGUAACUGACGCUGAAGCUCGAAAGUGCGGGUAUCGAACAGGAUUAGAUACCCUGGUA
Molecule: ribosomal RNA, 453 nt
Filed under: uncultured Prevotella sp.
Lineage: Bacteria; Pseudomonadati; Bacteroidota; Bacteroidia; Bacteroidales; Prevotellaceae
Description: bacterial SSU rRNA
Rfam family: Bacterial small subunit ribosomal RNA
Source: RNAcentral